UUACAAUGCCCCCUUGAGGUAUAGACCGAUGUUUUGAUCAGUCAGUCUAGAGGGCAGUAUAAAUUCAAAAAAAUUCAAAAAAAUAUAAAACCUUGGAAACUUAGCUUUGUUUGUGCAAGAGAUCAUGUGUGCCAAAAUUGAGGUGAUUUGGAGGUGGUCGAAAAAAUCACCGCAUUCCGGAGGGACGAUUUGGUCUAACUUAAGCCAUUUUUUGAACAAAGGUGAUUUUUUCCACCACCUCCAAAUCACCCGAUUUCUCUAUGACACGGUGACCCACGUGUGCCAAACAUGUCCAUGAAAGAACAUUUAGAAAAUAAAUAUUUUACAAUGCCCCCUUGAGGUAUAGACCGAUUUUUUGAUCAGUCAGUAUAGAGGGCAGUAUAUAUUCAAACAAAUUCAACAAAAAUAUAAAACCUUGGAAACCUAGUUUUGUUUGUGCAAUAGAUCAUGUGUGCCAAAAUUGAGGUCAUUUGGAGGUGGUCGAAAAAAUCACCGCAUUCCGGAG
RNAcentral lists this long non-coding RNA (505 nucleotides) under Triticum aestivum (bread wheat). RNAcentral's name for it is "long non-coding RNA (TAES_LNC017257)". The record is from RNAcentral. Lineage: Eukaryota; Viridiplantae; Streptophyta; Magnoliopsida; Poales; Poaceae.